This 492-nucleotide ribosomal RNA is filed under the name uncultured bacterium. RNAcentral describes it as "partial 16S ribosomal RNA". It matches the Rfam family "Bacterial small subunit ribosomal RNA", at positions 29 to 507 of the family's 1533-position model. The record is from RNAcentral.
AGUGAACGCUGGCGGUAGGCCUAACACAUGCAAGUCGAACGGCAGCACAGUAAGAGCUUGCUCUUACGGGUGGCGAGUGGCGGACGGGUGAGGAAUACAUCGGAAUCUACUUUUUCGUGGGGGAUAACGUAGGGAAACUUACGCUAAUACCGCAUACGACCUACGGGUGAAAGCAGGGGAUCUUCGGACCUUGCGCGAUUGAAUGAGCCGAUGUCGGAUUAGCUAGUUGGCGGGGUAAAGGCCCACCAAGGCGACGAUCCGUAGCUGGUCUGAGAGGAUGAUCAGCCACACUGGAACUGAGACACGGUCCAGACUCCUACGGGAGGCAGCAGUGGGGAAUAUUGGACAAUGGGCGCAAGCCUGAUCCGGCCAUACCGAGUGGGUGAAGAAGGCCUUCGGGUUGUAAAGCCCUUUUGUUGGGAAAGAAAAGCAGCAGGUUAAUACCCCGCUGUUCUGACGGUACCCAAAGAAUAAGCACCGGCUAACUUCGUG